Molecule: ribosomal RNA, 465 nt
Filed under: uncultured bacterium
Lineage: Bacteria
Description: partial 16S ribosomal RNA
Rfam family: Bacterial small subunit ribosomal RNA
Source: RNAcentral
CCUACGGGGGGCUGCAGUGGGGAAUAUUGCGCAAUGGGCGAAAGCCUGACGCAGCGACGCCGCGUGAGGGAUGAAGGUCUUCGGAUCGUAAACCUCUGUCAGUAGGGAAGAACGGUCACUGUGCUAAUCAGCAGUGAAUUGACGGUACCUGCAAAGGAAGCACCGGAUAACUCCGUGCCAGCAGCCGCGGUAAUACGGAGGGUGCGAGCGUUAAUCGGAAUUACUGGGCGUAAAGCGAUCGUAGGCGGUAUGUCAAGUCAAGGGUGAAAUCCCCGGGCUCAACGUGGGAACUGCAUUUGAUACUGGCAAACUGGAGUGUGGUAGAGGAUGGUGGAAUUCCUGGUGUAGGAGUGAAAUCCGUAGAUAUCUGGAAGAACAUCAGUGGCGAAGGCAGUUCACUAGACUGCAACUGACACUGAGGCUCGAAAGUGUGGGUAUCAAACAGGAUUAGAUACCCGUGUAGUC